UAGAUGACCCUUUCAGGGAUCAUUCAUCUAUUAUGUAACUAGAGAAUUGUGGCAGAAAAUGUUGCAUGGAAGUAACCACGAGGAUAAACUGAGGUGUUCUUUUCUGAGAGAUGAAGCUGGCUUGUGGGAUUGCUCUUCAGCAGCUGCCCCCUGCCAUGAAUGAUCGCUCUUCCCUCUCUUAGGGCUGGACGGGAUGAAAACCAAAGCUGAGGGGU
Gracilinanus agilis (Agile Gracile Mouse Opossum) is the source of this 215-nucleotide small nucleolar RNA. RefSeq annotates it as small nucleolar RNA U3. The record is from RefSeq and is a predicted model, not a curated record. The transcript has a single exon. Lineage: Eukaryota; Metazoa; Chordata; Mammalia; Didelphimorphia; Didelphidae.